CCUCCGAUCAAGAUUGAAGUGAUAAUUUGCGAAACCAAAGUUCCUUUCGAAGAUCAUUGAAGUGGGAGCGAUGACGACGGAUCCGGACUCUAACCUCCACUACGGCGUGUGCGAGAGUACGACGGCGUGGACAAGAGUACGGUGGUGAAGGCCGUUAUUGGCGGGGGCAAGUGGUUGUCAGAAUAGUGGAGGUUGCGCCGGUGAGGAGCGAUUGAAGGUCGAUUGUGGCCGGCGGAGAAAUUGUGGUUUUGUAAGGGUGCUCGUUGGAGGUAGAAAAUGAGGGUGUGGAGCAUGUGGGUUCGCGGUCGAAGGAGGAGAAGAGUAAAGUUGAGCAUGAAAUAAAUUGAUACGGUUUGUUGAGUUGUUCCAAGCGUGUCGUCGUUGUUGCGGUAACGCUUGUAGUGCGUAUGAGUUGUUGGAUACAAGGGCACCUCUGUUUUCGAUAUGGUCAGGAUGAUUCUUACGGAUCGCUUAAGAUGUGAGACUAACAACUUCUAUAGUUGUAUCAUCCUACAAGAUCGAGGCAACAUUGAACUAUUGUUGUUGGAAAUUUCAAAUAUGCCGAAAUCAAACCAAUCGGAUCGCUUAAGAUGUGAGACUAACAACUUCUAUAGUUGUAUCAUCCUACAAGAUCGAGGCAACAUUGAACUAUUGUUGUUGGAAAUUUCAAAUAUGCCGAAAUCAAACCAAAAACAUGGGGGAUCAAAUGUAUUGUUUGUUGCUGCAACUUGGAGUUGUGGAAAAAAAAGGUGUGUUGUCGUGAACUUGUUGUAGGCAGAGCUAACAAGAGAUAUGUGGUUGUCAAUGGAUGAUGAGGAUGGAUAAUGGUUGGGUGGCGACGAUACUUGUGCACCCAGUGGAUGGAAGUGUCACGACCGAUUGUGAGGAGGUCGAUGGUGGGAACGUUGUGCCGGAGGUGGUUAGUUGGAGACGCAAGGGUUUGUGAUGGCGGAAGAAGAAACGAAUGGUGGUGGUCCGGUAGAAUGGAUUUGAUCGGAAGUGAAGAAGGGUGAUAUCGUUGAGUUGUGGUGGUGGAUGGUGAGUGGUCGUGGCUUGAAGAUGGAACGCAGAACAACGAUACUCGAGUCGAAAGAUGAAGAGCGUAACCGAAUCAAUUCCGAAAAGGUAUCGUCGAGUUUUUUCGCUUCUCUCUUAUGCUUCUGUUAUUUCUUUUCUUUCCCAACUCUAUCUCUCUUUUUCUCCUUCGAUUACUGAUUGAUUCGUGAAUCGUCGAUGAAGGAUUUCCGAGUGUCUCCGUUUCUGUUAUUGCUGUUGUGUUCUUUAUGGUUUUUGAAAGAAAACUCUGUUUGUGUUUAGGUUGUUGUCGAUGAAGGAUUUCCGAGUGUCUCCGUUUCUGUUAUUGCUGUUGUGUUCUUUAUGGUUUUUGAAAGAAAACUCUGUUUGUGUUUAGGUUGUUCUUGAUUUUGGGUUUUGAAGAAAAAUAACUUUGUUGUGUUUAUUGCUGUGUUUGCUGUUGUGUUUAGAGUUUCUUUUGAAAAAUCUCUUACUGUGAUGUGUAUCCCCCUGUUAACCUCUCUUCUGUUGUUAUUAUGAAGAAAGGAUUAAGCCUUAUAAAACUCUUUUUUCUUUUUGAUUUUCUCAUCCCAGAUUAUGUGGGAUUUGAUCUGUUCUUGUUUUAAGUUAAUCUAAAAAGCGCUUUUUGGAUGCUUAGGUUAACCUUAUGGAUAAAGCUUCAAACUGAAUGAUUCAUUUAGUUGUUUUUCAGCUCUCUAAGUGCUUUUAGAAUAAGCUAUUUUCUCUUUGCAGGUCACAGAUUUGAAGAGACUUUGAUGGAAUGGAAAAUUGGUUGCUCUAAGCUUCAAGACAACAUGUUUUUGCGCCUAGGUCCAAAGGAGUGUUUAACUAGUCCAUUGAUUUUGGUCUUGGUCAUUAGAAUUAGGAACCUGUUUUUGCAGCAAAUUUCACUUAGUCAAAAAAUGUAAUUAUUUAGUUUAAUAAAAAAAUUUAAAGAUAAAAUGUAUUUGGAUUAUUUGGAGCUUAUUGAAUUAAAUUUUAAUUAUGUAAUUACCUUUUAAGCUUUUCAAAAUUUAACUCAAUAUUUAUUUAUGCUAAUCAAUUUCAACUUUUAAAAACAACAAAUUUCUAACUUAAGUAUAAUGACUUAAUUUUUAAAAACAACAUAUUUCUAAUUAAGUAAAAGACUUAAUUUUAAAAACAACAUAUCUCUUUAACUUAAGUAUAAUGACUUAAUUUUAAAAACACAUAUUUCUAACUUCAAGUAAAAUGACUUAAUUUUUAAAAACAACAUAUUUCCUAAUUUAAGUAUAAGUGACUUUUAAUUUUAAAAACAAAUAUUUUCUAACUUAAGUAAAAAUGACUUAGUUUAAAACAAAUAUUUCUAAUUAGUAUAAUGACUUAAUUUUUAAAACAACAUAUUUUCUAACUUAAGUAUAAUGACUUAAUCUAAAAAAUACAUAAUUCUAACUUAGGGUACAAAGAGAACUAAGUAUAGUGGAUUUAAUUUAAAAACAACACAAUCUAUUUUAAAUACAAAAAUCAAUAUGAGACUUUAAAAAAACCACUAUUCUAUUUAAAUACAAAAAUCUAAAAUAUGGAUGGAAAAAAAAAACUUUUAAUUUUAAAAACGACACAUACAUGUUUUUAAAAUGCAUUUAAUUUGGGAACCCAUGAAGACUUAGAACUUGUAUAAUAUUUGGGAUGUGUAAAUGGACUAGUAAAUAGUGAUCAUAGAAAUAAUAACGUGACUCUUAAUACUUACUAAUAGAAAAAAUAGGUUUUGGAUUAGUAAUGUAAAAAGAUUCAAACCACAUUUUAGAUUACGAACACACUUAUGCAAAUGGGCCUUUGAAAUAAAAAGAUCUCAUGGGUAAACCAAAAAUGGCCGGACAAAAUUGGGGUAUGACGGCUGCCCCUAUUUAAUUAACCUGAACCAGAAGGUAAGAAUGACAACAGUCUUCAUACAUUCGUAGUGGAAGGUAAUUAAAUACGAAAAGACCCAAAUUUUGUCCUUUGAAAUGCAAGGAAGAAAUACAAAAAAGAAAAUGCAGUGAGAAAUACAGUAAGAAAAAUUAACAAAAAGGUAAAAUGAAACAGUCAAGACUCUCUGGGAAUCAUCAGAACAAUAUCUUGGAUGUCAUAAUCGAGAUAUUCCGGUAAUGGAAUGAUAUCCCUAGCUAAAUCUCAAGAUUUUUUAGGAUGCUAGAGCAGUAUAAAGAAAAUCUGGCAUGAGACUCUUCAUAUUGAUGAAGCAGCAUCUCAACAGUAAAAGUCUCUAAGAGACAUAGCUCAGCUUUGUCGUAGAAUAUACUAUCUUAAUUGAUGUUCCAGCAAGGGAAAGAUACCUUAAUUGAAUCUAAGACUCUCCGAGGAUAUUAGAGCAGUAUCUCUAAAAAAAUCUGAAAUGAGACUCUUCAUAUUGAUAAAGCAUUAUCUCAAACAGUAAAAAUGAGAUUCUCUGUAUUGGGUCGAAGCAACAUGUUAUAUGAUAGAAUUAAGAUGUUCCAGCAAGGGAAAGAUACCUUAAUUGAAUCUAAGACUCUUCGAGGAUAUUAGAGCAGUAUCUCUAAAAAGAAAAUUGAAAUGAGACUCUUCAUAUUGAUGAAGCAGUAUCUCAAACAGUAAAAGUGAGAUUCUCUGUAUCGGGUCGAAGCAGCAUCAUAUAUGAUAGAAUUAAGAUAUUCCAGCAAGGGAAAGAUACCUUAAUCGAAUCUAAGACUCUUCGAGGAUACUUAGAGCAGUAUCUCUAAAAAAAUAUGAAAUGAGACUCUUCAUAUUGAUGAAGCAGCAUCUCAAACAGUAAAAGUGAGAUUCUCUAUAUCGGGUCGAAACAGCAUCUUAUAUGAUAGAAUUAAGAUUUUCCAGCAAUGGAAAAAUACCUUAAUUGAAUCUAAGAUUCUCCGAAGAUAUUUGAGCAGUAUCUCUAAAAAAUCUGAAAUGAGACUCUUCAUAUUGAUGAAGCAGCAUCUCAAACAGUAAAAAUGAGAUUCUUUGUAUCGAGUCGAAGCAGCAUCUUAUAUGAUAGAAUUAAGAUAUUCCGAACGAGGGAAUGAUACCUUAAUUGAAUCUAAGACUCACCGAGGAUACUUAGAGCAGUAUCUCUAGAAAAAUCUGAAAUGAGACUUUUCAUAUUGAUGAAGCAGCACCUCAAACAGUAAAAGUGAGAUUCUCCAUAUCGGAUCGAAACAACAUCUUAUAUGAUAGAAUUAAGGUGUUCCAGCAAGGGAAAAAUACCUUAAUUGAAUCUAAGACUCUCAGAGGAUAUUAGAGCAGUAUCUCUAAAGAAAAUCUGAAAUGAGACUCUUCAUAUUGAUGAAGCAGUAUUUCAAACAGUAAAAAUGAGAUUCUCUGUAUCGGGUCGAAGCAGCAUCUUAUAUGAUAGAAUUAAGAUGUUCCAGCAAGGGAAAAAUACCUUAAUUGAAUCUAAGACUCUCCGAGGAUAUUAGAGCAGUAUCUCUAAAGAAAAUAUGAAAUGAGACUCUUCAUAUUGAUGAAGCAGUAUCUCAAACAGUAAAAAUGAGAUUCUCCAGGUAAAUGAAGCAGUAUCUCGAAUAUUCUUCUGUUGGGGGAAUUUUUGAAAAGACUCCUUUUGAGGGAGAUUUACUAGAAAUGCUCUGCAGGGGAAAAAGCUCAUAAGAGACCUUUUAGGGUAACCUCUGCUUGGGGAGCAAUGACUGUAAAGAAAAAUGUUGGAAAUAUCAUUAUUUAAAAAAAGUUGAAAAAUGAUUUGCUAAGAAAUAACCCUACGAGCCUAUGUAGGGUAAUAACUUCAUUUGGAAAUGAGGAAUGUCUGAGACAUAUGCGAAUGACCUUGGAUCCUGUUAUUUUAUAUUUGAUUUUUGUAUAAUGUCCCACUUUAGGUGGGAAUUCCACGCAUGGGAUGAUGCAUGAGAUGUACGCAAGUAUGCAAUAUUGCUAGGGAUAUUUGGUUGUGCAUGUAGGAAUUCGAAUGAUUUUUAUUUUUUUGCUGAAAUUCCCAUUUUGUGGGAGUGUUAUGCAUGAGUAUGUUGAUGAUUGAUAUGACUGGGUUUGAUUAAUCUUCCUGUUUGGCAGGAAAUUAUGCAUGAAAUGAUGCAUGUGAUGCAUGUGGAAAUACAACUGGGUAAUUGGAUGCUUUUGUAGGGUUUUAUUCUUGAUUGCCAAUGAGGUUGGACUUUAUAUGGGAACUGCCAGAUGAGAACUGGUGAAGGAGACUGAACUGCUAGAUGAGGACAACACUUGAAGGAUAUGUUACCAGAUGCGAACUGGUGAAAAUAAUUGAAAUGUCAGACGGGACUGAAUUUGUUUUUGUUUGUCAAACGGGAACUGACUUUUUUUAAAAUAGGCUACCAGACGAGAACUGGUGAAAAUAAUUGACUACCAGACGAGAACUGGUAUCGAAAUAACCUACCAGACGAGAACUGGUGAAAAUAAUUGACUACCAGACGAGAACUGGUAUCGAAAUAACCUACCAGACGAGAACUGGUAUUUGGAAAAUGAUUUGUCAUGCAAGAACUGAUUUUUGAAAUAGUUUGUCGGACAGGGACUGGACUUUGGAAUAAGUUGCCAGACAAGAACUGGACUUUGAAAUGAAUUUCCAGACUAGAACUGGGCUUUGAAAUGAAUUGCCAGACGAGAACUGGACUUUGACAUAAAUUGCUAGACGGGAACUGGGCUUUGAAAUGAAUUGCCAGACGAGAACUGGACUUUGACAUAAAUUGCCAGACGGGAAUUAGGCUUUGAAGUGAAUUGCCAGACGAGAACUGGACUUUGACAUAAAUUGCUAGACGGGAACUGGGCUUUGAAAUGAAUUGCCAGACGAGGACUGGACUUUGACAUAUAUUGCCACACGGGAACUGGGCUUUGAAAUGAAUUUCCAGACGGGAACUGGGCUUUGGUGUCAGAUUUUGGGUUUCAAGGCUUUUUGAUGUCAGGUUCAUGUUAUGGGGGGUUAUGCCUGAUAAAUGAUAUGAUAUGCAUGGCUUUGUGCUAGAGCAAAGCGACAUGACUAAUGCAUGAUGAUGAUUUAUGUAAUGAUUGGAAGGUUUCCAAAAUGCCCCUGCGCGGGUAUUGGAAGAGAAUGGUUUUUUGCAGAAAGAUUUUUGUCUGUUAAAAGGUUAUUUUAUGGGGUGAUAGCGUGAUUCCCCGACACUUGUCUCGAACUCUAUGGUUGCUGAUGUGCGACCAAACUUUUGAUUGAUCAGCUUGAAAAUAUGGAGAGGACUUGCUCCUAUAUGGCUCAUCUUGCCCCAGUUUGUUGGGUCUUUGCGGACGUUUACCUCGAAAGGAUUUCGAAAGAAAUUGUACCAUAAUUUGGAGAUGGCUUGCCCCAAAAUUUUGAUCCAUGAAAGGAUUUAUCCUUGGUUAACCGACUCUUGGAGUGGUUGACUUUUCUGUGCUCUUGAGGUAGCUUGCCCCGAUAUGAGCGUUGAAGCGACUUAACUCACCCUAACUGAACAUUGAAGGGGUCUGCCCCUGGCCAACAGAACCUCUAGGUGACCUGCCCCUAGUUAAUAGAGUCCUGAGAUGAUUUGCUCUGGAUCAACUGAUUCUUGAAAAGAUUUGCACAUUUAUUAACAGAUUUUAGGGGACUGUUUCAAGCUGACCAAUUCUUGGAGUAAUCUUCCUAUGACCAACUGAUGUUUAGGUGGCAUGUCUCAGAUUCAUAGGUUGUGAGGUAGUCUUGAUUCAGGUCAGCACCAACGAAUGUCCAAGUUCCUCUGAUUGUUCCUUAUUGUUGGAAUUUCCCUGACGUCAAGUAUUAUCUUGCAGUUAAAAUUGUUUGUUCAGAAAUGGUAAUUUUAAUGCGAUACUCAUGCAAGUUUUGAAAAGAAUUUAUUUGAAUGAUGUGAUAAUGUGUGACGAGUGGACCAUGAGUCCAAAUGUAAUGCUGAUUUAGCAAUUUAAAGUGUGAAAGACACAGCGAGAAUAAUGACAUCGAUGUUGAAGAUUAACAAAUCUUUAGGAGUCAGUUUACGCAACCUUGAUGUAGUAUGCUUUCGGAAUAAACCCUACUUCAAUUAGGUAUUUUGAGGGUUGUAACAUGGCUUGGUUCAUGGUUAUUGAAACAAAAGGAUAUAAGGCUCGAAGUUUAUUUUAACCCACCCCUUCUUCAUGAUGAUCUCCAAUCCUACGUUCAAUUAAUUCGACACACACUUACUCUUACGAGAUUUCAGCAGUGUAAGAUCUUUUUGAAAUGACAGUCGCUUCAUUUUACUCUUCAUGGAUAUUGGUGACCCUUUGAUUCUUGAUAUGGUGGUCACUAAAUCUUGUUUUUAUUUUGUUGAGGGUUUUCGUGACCUCCUUUGAUUUUUGUUUUGAUCCCUAACUUUUGCAUGGACCGUUUUUUGAAGCUUUAGUCCAUCGGGAUUGCCCUAGUUUUUGCCUAAGUCUCCUUUUGGGGUAUCGACUUAGCGGGCUUUUUUAUUGAUUCCCUUUUUUAGAAUGCGAAUGCCAAGUCAUUGGUCAUUGAAGAACAACCGUCAUAACUUUUUGAUUUUUCAAGGUUCCUUCGACACUUCAGGAUGUGUGCGAAGAAUAUCAUGUGGUUGGUCCUCAGACGGGAUGUUUCAUCUUGAAAUUUGAAUGCGUAGUCAGGUUAACUGAACACUACUCUUCCCCAGGUUAAACAUAAGGGUUUGUUCAUUCGAAAGAAACACCUACUUCUAGGCUCAAAGUGGUUGACUAGGGAUUAACUCCUUAUCUCUCCAGUGUUUGGGGAUUUGAAACAAUGCCUGUACAUCAUCAACAGAAUUUUAUCCGAAAGCAUAUAGUCAGCAAUUAUGGGUAACUUGUUUUUGUCAUCCUCCCUCAAAUCUUUGCUAAAAUAAAGGUUACGAUAAAGAAAAGUGAAUGGGAGAAACACAGAUGUAUUUUUGUUUUUGAUAUAAGAGAAGAAAAAUGAGCGAAUGCGAGAUAAUUAAUUCAAAAUAUGCAUCAUUACUUCAUCAAUAUUACCAUUAAAAACAACAAUGUUUAAACACAAGCAGCUUUUAACAACAAAGAAACUACAAAUCCAAAAAUAGAAACAAAUCAGUCCAACGAUUGCCAGUGUUGAGGAUGUCUUCCUUUUUUGAUGAAACUAUCAUUGUAACAACCCAAAUUUAGUAAUUAUUUCUUAUAUUAUUAUUACUAUAUUUUAUUUUAUUUAUUUGAAGUGUUAAUUAAUUAAUUGGUUGUUAGGUAGUAUAAUAAUCGAUUAUAUUAAUUAAUUUGGUAUGUUAAUUAAUUAUUUAGUUGAUACGAGAUAUAAUGAAUAAUUGAAUUAAUUAACUUGGUGUGCAUAUUGAGUUGGUUUAAUUUAUUUGAAUUAAAUAGAGAUAUUAUAAUACUAGGUCUUAUUGGGCCUAAUAAUUAAAUUAGAGGUAUCAUUCUUUAAGUCCAAAUAUAAUACUAGAAUAUAAAAGGUAGGAGAGUGAGAAGUAGGAUUAAUUUAAUCAUUGACGGCAAUAGAGAAAGAAAAGAGGAAAAGUAAGGAGAAGAAUAUAAAAGGUAGGAGAGUGAGAAGUAGGAUUAAUUUAAUCAUUGACGGCAAUAGAGAAAGAAAAGAGGAAAAGUAAGGAGAAGAGGGGAAGAACAAGAGAGAAGCUAAGGUUUCCAGAAAAUUGAAGAGGUAAGGGGGGAAUCCUUAUUAUUAUGGGUUAGUAUGAUUGGGUCAAUAGGUAGAAGUAUGUUUAGGUUAAAAUCCCUAAUUUUGUAUGGUUGUUUGAAAUGGUUAGGUUUUGAUAAGUAUCCUUGAUUUGUGGUGAUUGAUUGUGUUAAAACUGCAAAUUAACGUUAUAUACUUAGAGUAUUGUGUGAGUUAUAAUUUUCUGAACGUUUGGCUUUUUACGGAAUCGAAAUCGGAGGUCCGAAAGCCCUCCAACGAUGAAAAAUGCAGAAAAUUAUGCAUUCUGUUUUGUGUUAACCGGUUACCCACCGAGCGUUAACCGUUACUUGCUUGAAAAUCUGCGCAGGAUGUUGAUUCUGUUUUAUGUUAACCGGUUACCCACCGAGCGUUAACCGGUUACUUGCUUAAAAAUCUGCGCAGGAAAUUGAUUAUGUUUUGUGUUAAACGGUUACUUGCUUGAAAAUCUGCGCAGGAAGUUGAUUCUGUUUUGUGUUAACCGGUUACCCACCGAGCGUUAACCGGUUACUUGCUUGAAAAUCUGCGCAGGAAGUUGAUUCUGUUUUGUGUUAACCGGUUACCCUCCGAGCGUUAACCGGUUACCACUGUUGAAAAAUUAAAAAUUGAGAUUUUGAAAGUGGUAUUUAUUUUGAAAUGCAAUCUAAGUGUGCGUAGUUGAUAAUUAGCCUAUAUUUGUGAAUGGAAUAUUGUUAUGAAUGUGUAUAUGUACCAUUGGUGGAUAAUUCAUAGAGUUGAAUUAUGGUGAUAUGUGGAAUGUUAAGAUGGUAGAGAUGAUCUUAAUUGCAUAUGUGUUGGUAUUUGUACAUUCAUUCAUGGCAUGGUCGGCUUCAUGGUGGAAGCGGUGAAACUGUGGGUUCACAUGGUAAUAGACGUUGAUCCUUAAUUGGAAAUAGGCGUAGCAGACGUUGAUCCUUAAUUGGAAAUAGACGUAGUGGCUUGGAUUCUAGAUAUUGAAUCGGAAAGCGGUGAAACUGUGGGUUCACAUAGACGUUGAUCCUUAAUUGGAAAUAGGCGUAGCAGACGUUGAUCCUUAAUUGGAAAUAGACGUAGUGGCUUGGAUUCUAGAUAUUGAAUCGGAAAGCGGUGAAACUGUGGGUUCACAUAGACGUUGAUCCUUAAUUGGAAAUAGGCGUAGCAGACGUUGAUCCUUAAUUGGAAAUAGACGUAGUGGCUUGGAUUCUAGAUAUUGAAUCGGAAAGCGGUGAAACUGUGGGUUCACAUAGACGUUGAUCCUUAAUUGGAAAUAGGCGUAGCAGACGUUGAUCCUUAAUUGGAAAUAGACGUAGUGGCUUGGAUUCUAGAUAUUGAAUCGGAAAGCGGUGAAACUGUGGGUUCACAUAGACGUUGAUCCUUAAUUGGAAAUAGGCGUAGCAGACGUUGAUCCUUAAUUGGAAAUAGACGUAGUGGCUUGGAUUCUAGAUAUUGAAUCGGAAAGCGGUGAAACUGUGGGUUCACAUAGACGUUGAUCCUUAAUUGGAAAUAGGCGUAGCAGACGUUGAUCCUUAAUUGGAAAUAGACGUAGUGGCUUGGAUUCUAGAUAUUGAAUCGGAAAGCGGUGAAACUGUGGGUUCACAUAGACGUUGAUCCUUAAUUGGAAAUAGGCGUAGCAGACGUUGAUCCUUAAUUGGAAAUAGACGUAGUGGCUUGGAUUCUAGAUAUUGAAUCGGAAAGCGGUGAAACUGUGGGUUCACAUAGACGUUGAUCCUUAAUUGGAAAUAGGCGUAGCAGACGUUGAUCCUUAAUUGGAAAUAGACGUAGUGGCUUGGAUUCUAGAUAUUGAAUCGGAAAGCGGUGAAACUGUGGGUUCACAUAGACGUUGAUCCUUAAUUGGAAAUAGGCGUAGCAGACGUUGAUCCUUAAUUGGAAAUAGACGUAGUGGCUUGGAUUCUAGAUAUUGAAUCGGAAAGCGGUGAAACUGUGGGUUCACAUAGACGUUGAUCCUUAAUUGGAAAUAGGCGUAGCAGACGUUGAUCCUNCAUGCAUAGAGUCACAUGUCUUGCAUUGAGUCACAUUAGAGUUAUGUGAUAAUUGAGUGUAUGCAGUGUUGUGAUUGUGAUGUGUGUAUGAGAUAUGGUAAUUGAAUUUGGUGAUGUUUGGAUACAUAACUUGGCAAAGUAUGUGAUUAUGUGAUAAUUAUAGUUAUGUGUAUAAUUGAAAAUAUAGUAUGUGAUCUUAAUAUUAUACUCCUUGACUUUUGAUGGAUGUUGAAAUAUGGGAAAUAAAUGUUAGUUAAUAUUAUUGACAUGGUUAUACAAGGUGUGAUGAAUUCCGUUAAUUGUUGAGUUAAUCAUUGUGCCUUAUUAUACUUCUUCAUAAUGAUUUGAAUUCUCACCCUUUCUGUUUGAAUGUUGCCUUUACAUGGGCAUCGUGCAGAUACUCAGGAGUAGUAUUGCUGAAGUAAGUGGAUGGUAGCUCAUUCGAGAUUUAGCCGUUGAGCUUAUGUAUUCUAGUUUGGAGACUAGGUAGUGAGUCAAUGCUCUGGUCAUGUAACACGGGGUAUAUUAGUAGUAUUGAACUCAUACCUUAUUUGGAUACGUAUUAUGUUAUUACUUGUGAACAUGUUUGAUUGCAAUUGCUGUUUGAGAUGCCAUAGUGCCAAAUAUUCUGGAUAUGGUUUUAUUUUAUCUUGAGGAGAUUAUUGAGAGAUGAUCAUGGUAUGGGACAUGGAUCAUUUUAUGAAAUGCAUGAGUAUUCAUUAUUUUCCGCUGCGAACGCAUAUUCUGGAAUAUUCAUGAUAAUUGAAAUGUGUUAUUUUAAAUGACCAGGUGUAUUGUAUAUUGAUGAUGAAUGAUGUUGGUUUUUGAAAGCUUUUAGUUUUUGAAAACGUCGAUGUGACGCCCUUUUGUUUAUAUGCGUGCUUAUUUACUCUGAUUAUAGGUUAAGCAUUUUAGGGUAGAAAAAGGGGUGUUACAUUAGUGGUAUCAGAGCAUGGUCGACCAGUUGGUCAAUAGUCGUUAAUGUUUUCCAAUCCUAUUAUAUUCAAUUUGUGUAUCUGACACGAUCGAUACUGUUUGUCUGGUUGUUCGGGCUGUUCAGGAUGAUGGUUUCAGGCAGGAAUGAUGAUGCCAUUGCUGAGGCGCUGAGGAUGUUGGCUGACUCCAUUGGUUAGAUCCCUCAAGCGAAUGCUGGUAACCGAAAUGGAGAUGAUGAUGAGUUCCGUGCUUUGGGGAGAUUCCAGCGGAACAAUCCUCCUAUCUUCGAGGGUGAGCAUGAACCUGAUAAAGCUCAAGCUUGGCUGAAGGCAAUUGAGAAGAUCUUCAGAGUCAUGAACUGUACGGAUGCUCAGAAAGUGCAGUGUUGGCUAGUUAACCUGUCUGAGAAUGAUGUGUUUUUCCUGAACCCGAAGAGAGAUCGGAUUCGAGGAUGGUGUUGAUUAGAAGUUAAUCGAGUGUAUAUCAACUGUUUUGAGAAGACAGUUAUUUUUCCCGAGGUUGGUGCUAAGGGAGAUUGGUUUGUGUCUGCUAAGCAAGUUGAUGAAUCGGUGCAAGAUGGUGCCGAGUUGUUUAUGUUGUUGGCAACUUUGGGUAUUCGUGAGAAGAGGACGAUUGAAGAAUUUCCAAUAGUUUGUGAGUUUACGGAGGUAUUUCUGGAAGAUAUAAGUGAUUUACCGCCGGAACGUGAGGUUGAGUUUUCGAUUGAUUUAGUUCCUGGAACUAGUCCUGUAUCGAUGGCUCCCUAUAAAAUGUCUGCUUCUGAGUUGAAAGAGUUGAAGAGUCAACUUGAAGACUUGCUCGAGAAGAGGUUUAUUCGUCCUAGUGUGUCGCUGUGGGGUGCACCUGUUCUGUUGGUCAAGAAGAAAGAAGGUUCUAUGAGAUUAUGUGUUGAUUACAGACAACUGAAUAAAGUGACGAUUAAAAACAAGUAUCCACUUCCGAGGAUUGACGAUCUGAUGGAUCAGCUGGUUGGAGCUUGUGUGUUUAGCAAGAUUGAUUUGAGGUCUGGGUAUCAUCAGAUUCGUGUAAAGGCUGAGGAUAUUCAAAAGACUACUUUUCGGACAAGGUACGGUCACUACGAGUACUCCGUGAUGCCUUUUGGUGUGACUAAUGCACCUGGUGUAUUUAUGGAGUAUAUGAAUAAAAAAUUUCAUGAUUAUCUGGAUAAGUUUGUUGUUGUGUUCAUCGAUGAUAUAUUGAUUUAUUCCAAGAGUAAAGAGGAUCAUGCCGAGCAUUUGAAGGUUGUGUUAUCGGUGUUGAAAGAGAAGAAGUUGUUUGCUAGACUCUCUAAAUGUGAGUUUUGGUUGAGUGAAGUAAGUUUUCUUGGACAUGUGAUUUCGAGUGGUGGUAUUUCUGUGGAUCCUACGAAGAUUGAAGUUGUAUCUCAGUGGGAAGCUCCUAGGUCUGUUGCUGAAUUAGAAGUUUCCUUGGUUUGGCUAGUUAUUAUAGGAAGUUCAUUGAAGGAUUUUCUAAGUUGUCGUUACCAUUGACACAAUUGACUAGGAAAGGUCAAGCUUUCAUUUGGAUUUCGUAGUGUGAAGCGAAUUUUCAAGAGCUUAAGAGAAGAUUGACUACGGCUCCUAUUUUGAUUUUACCGGAUCCGUUAGAAACUUUCGUUGUGUAUUCUGAUGCUUCUUUGUUGGGUUCGGGAGGUGUUUUGAUGCAAAAAGGGCAAGUGGUAGCUUAUGCUUCAAGGCAACUUAAAGUUCAUGAGAGGAAUUAUCCGACGCAUGAUUUAGAGUUGGUCGCCGUUGUGUUUGUGUUGAAGCUUUGGAGACAUUAUUUGUUUGGAUCGAGAUUUGAUGUGUUUAGUGAUCACAAGAGUUUGAAGUACUUGUUCGAUCAGAAAGAAUUGAAUAUGAGGCAAAGGAGAUGGUUGGAAUUCUUGAAAGAUUAUGAUUUUGGUUUGAAUUAUCAUCCUGGAAAGGCGAAUGUUGUAGCCGAUGCAUUGAGUAGGAAGUCAUUGCACAUGUCUAUGUUGAUGAUUCGAGAGUUUGAAUUGUUGGAGCAAUUUAGAGAUUUGAGUUUGGUUUGUGAAGCGACGUCUUCGUGUGUUAAGCUUGGUAUGUUGAAGCUUACGUGUGGCAUUCUUGACGAGAUUAGAGAAGGUCAGAAGUCAGAUUUGAAAUUAGUCGAUGUUAUGACAUUGAUUAAUCAAGGCAAAGGUGGUGACUUUCGGAUUGAUGAGAAUGGUAUCAUGAGGUGUCGUGAUCGAGUUUGUGUUCCGGAUGUUGCGGAUUUGAGAAAGAGGAUUCUUGAGGAAGGGCAUAGAAGUGGUUUGAGUAUUCAUCCUGGUGCUACUAAAAUGUAUCAAGACUUGAGAAAGAUGUUUUGGUGGCAAGGUAUGAAGAAGGAUGUAGCGGAAUUUGUGUAUUCAUGUUUGACUUGUCAAAAGUCAAAGAUUGAACAUCAAAAGCCGUCUGGUUUGAUGCAACCGUUAUCUAUUCCCGAGUGGAAGUGGGAUAGUAUCUCUAUGGAUUUUGUUUCGGGUUUGCCGAGAACAUCGAGUAAUUGUGAGGCGAUUUGGGUCGUUGUGGACAGGUUGACGAAAUGUGCUCAUUUUAUUCCGAUGAGGAUGGAUUAUUCGAUGGAGAGACUUGCUAAGUUGUACAUCGAAAGGAUUGUGUGUUUGCAUGGUAUUCCAUCGAGCAUUGUUUCGGAUAGAGAUCCGAGGUUCACUUCGAGAUUUUGGGAAGGUUUGGAAAGUGCUUUGGGUACGAAGUUGCGUUUGAGUUCAGCAUAUCAUCCGCAAACUGAUGGUCAAACGGAGAGGAGUAUUCAGUCACUUGAAGAUAUUUUGAGGUCUUGUGUCUUGGAACAAGGAGGAAAUUGGGAUAGUUUCUUGCCUUUGAUCGAGUUUACGUAUAACAACAGUUUCCAUUCGAGUAUUGGAAUGACACCUUUUGAGGCUCUUUAUGGCAGAACGUGUAGAACUCCUUUGUGUUGGUACGAAUCAGGGGAGAGUGUUGUGGUUGGACCCGAGUUGAUUCAAGAGACUAAUGAUAAGAUUAAGAUGAUUCAAGAGAAGAUGAAGGCUUCUUAGAGUCGUCAAAAGAGUUAUUAUGAUAAGAGGAGGAAAGCUCUUGAGUUUGAGAAAGAUGAGCAUGUUUUUCUUCGAGUUACGCCAAUAACGGGUGUUGGUAGAGCUUUGAAGUCGCGUAAGUUGACGCCGCGUUUCAUUGGUCCUUAUCAGAUUUCCGAGAGGGUAGGUGAAGUGGCAUAUCGGAUUGCAUUACCACCGUCACUUUCUAAUCUUCAUGAUGUGUUCCAUGUGUCUCAAUUGAGGAGGUACAUUGCGGAUCCAUCGCAUGUUGUUCCAUUAGAUGAUGUUCAAGUGAGGAAUAAUUUGACGGUUGAUACAUCACCUAUGCGAAUUGAAGAUCGAGAAGUGAAGAAGCUUCGUGGUAAGGAGAUUGCUUUGGUGAAAGUGAUAUGGGGCGGAGUCGCCAAUGGCAAUAUUACUUGGGAACUCGAGGAUAAGAUGAAGGAAUCGUAUCCGGAGUUGUUCGUUUGAGGUAUUUUCGAGGCCGAAAAUCUUUUAAGUGGGGGAGAGUUGUAACAACCCAAUUUUAGUAAUUAUUUCUUAUAUUAUUAUUACUAUAUUUUAUUUUAUUUAUUUGGAGUGUUAAUUAAUUAAUUGGUUGUUAGGUAGUAUAAUAAUUGAUUAUAUUAAUUAAUUUGGUGUGUUAAUUAAUUAUUUAGUUGAUAUGAGAUAUAAUGAAUAAUUGAAUUAAUUAACUUGGUGUGCAUAUUGAGUUGGUUUAAUUUAUUUGAAUUAAAUAGAGAUAUUAUAAUACUAGGUAUUAUUGGGCCUAAUAAUUAAAUUAGAGGUAUCAUUCUUUAAGCCCAAAUAUAAUACUAGAAUAUAAGAGGUGAGGAGAGUGAGAAGUAGGAUUCAUUUGAUCAUUUGACGGCAACAGAGAAAGAAAAGAGGAAAAGUAAGGAGAAGAGGGGAAGAACAAGAGAGAAGCUAAGGUUUCCAGAAAAUUGAAGAGGUAAGGGGGAGAAUCCUUAUUAUUAUGGGUUAGUAUGAUUGGGUCAAUGGGUAGAAGUAUGUUUAGGUUAAAAUCCCUAAUUUUGUAUGGUUGUUUGGAAUUGUUAGGUUUUGAUGAGUAUUCUUGAUUUGUGGUGAUUUAAUUGUGUUAAAACUGCAAAUUAACUUUAUAUACUUAGAGUAUUGUAUGAGUUAUAAUUUUCUGAACGUUUGGCUUUUUACGGAAUCGAAAUCGGAGGUCCGAAAGGCCUCCAACGAUGAAAAACGCAGAAAAUUCUGCAUUCUGUUUUGUGUUAACCGGUUAACCUCCGAGCGUUAACCGGUUACUUGCUAAAAACCUGCCCAGAAGUUGAUUCUGUUUUGUGUUAACCGGUUACCCUCCGAGCGUUAACCGGUUACUUGCUAAAAACCUGCCCAGAAGUUGAUUCUGUUUUGUGUUAACCGGUUACCCUCCGAGCGUUAACCGGUUACUUGCUAAAAACCUGCCCAGAAGUUGAUUCUGUUUUGUGUUAACCGGUUACCCUCCGAGCGUUAACCGGUUACUUGCUAAAAACCUGCCCAGAAGUUGAUUCUGUUUUGUGUUAACCGGUUACCCUCCGAGCGUUAACCGGUUACUUGCUAAAAACCUGCCCAGAAGUUGAUUCUGUUUUGUGUUAACCGGUUACCCUCCGAGCGUUAACCGGUUACUUGCUAAAAACCUGCCCAGAAGUUGAUUCUGUUUUGUGUUAACCGGUUACCCUCCGAGCGUUAACCGGUUACUUGCUAAAAACCUGCCCAGAAGUUGAUUCUGUUUUGUGUUAACCGGUUACCCUCCGAGCGUUAACCGGUUACUUGCUAAAAACCUGCCCAGAAGUUGAUUCUGUUUUGUGUUAACCGGUUACCCUCCGAGCGUUAACCGGUUACUUGCUAAAAACCUGCCCAGAAGUUGAUUCUGUUUUGUGUUAACCGGUUACCCUCCGAGCGUUAACCGGUUACUUGCUAAAAACCUGCCCAGAAGUUGAUUCUGUUUUGUGUUAACCGGUUACCCUCAGAGCGUUAACCGGUUAACACUGUUGAAAAAUGAAAAAAAUUGAGAUUUUAAAAGUUGUAUUCAUUUUGAAAUGCAAUCUAAGUGUGAGUAGUUGAUAAUUAGCCUAUAUUUGUGAAUGAUAUAUUGUUAUGAAUGUGUAUAUGUACCAUUGGUGGAUAAUUCAUAGAGUUGAAUUAUGGUGAUAUGUGGAAUGUUAAGAUGGUAGAGAUGAUCUUAAUUGCAUAUGUUUUGGUAUUUGUACAUUCAUUCAUGGCAUGGUCGGCUUCAUGGUGGAAGCGGUGAAACUGUGGGUUCACAUGGUAGUAGACGUUGAUCCUUGAUUGGAAAUAGGCGUAGCAGACGUUGAUCCUUAAUUGGAAAUAGACGUAGUGGCUUGGAUUCUAGAUAUUGAAUCGGAAAGCGGUGAAACUGUGGGUUCACAUAGACGUUGAUCCUUAAUUGGAAAUAGGCGUAGCAGACGUUGAUCCUUAAUUGGAAAUAGACAUAGUGGCUUUGAUCUUGUCCGGAUCGGAAGCGUGGCUUGGAUUCUAGAUAUUGAAUCGGAAAACGGUGUAACACUGGGUUCACAUUGCGGUACCACAUGCAUAGAGUCACAUGUCUUGCAUUGAGUCACAUUAGAGGUAUGUGAUAAUUGAGUGUAUGCAGUGUUGUGAUUGUGAUGUGUGUAUGAGAUAUGGUAAUUGAAUUUGGUGAUGUUUGGAUACAUAACUUGGCAAAGUAUAUGAUUAUGUGAUAAUUGUAGUUAUGUGUAUAAUUGGAAAUAUAGUAUGGGAUCUUAAUAUUAUACUCCUUGAGUUUUGAUGGAUGUUGAAAUAUGGGAAAUAAAUGUUAGUUAAUAUUAUUGACAUGGUUAUACAAGGUGUGAUGAAUUCCGUUAAUUGUUGAGUUAACCAUUGUGCCUUAUUAUACUUCUUCAUAAUGAUUUGAAUUCUCACCCUUUCUGUUUGAAUGUUGCCUUUACAUGGGCAUCGUGCAGAUACUCAGGAGUAGUAUUGCUGAAGUAAGUGGAAGGUAGCUCAUUCGAGAUUUAGCCGGAGGCUUCGUAUUCUAGUUUGGAGACUAGGUAGUGAGUCAAUGCUAUGGUCAUGUAACACGGGGUAGAUUAGUAGUAUUGAACUCAUAUCUUAUUUGGAUACGUAUUAUGUUAUUACUUGUGAACAUGUUUGAUUGCAAUUGCUGUUGAGAUGCCAUAAUGCCAAAUAUUCUGGAUAUGGUUUUAAUUUUUAUCUUGAGGAGAAUUGAGAGAUGAUCAUGGUAUGGGACAUGGAUCAUUUUAUGAAAUGCAUGAGUAUUCAUUAUUUUCCGCUGCGAACGCAUAUUCUGGAAUAUUCAUGAUAAUUGAAAUGUGUUAUUUUAAAUGACCAUGUGUAUUGUAUAUUGAUGAUGAAUGAUGUUGGUUUUUGAAAGCUUUUAGUUUUUGAAAACGUCGAUGUGACGCCCUUUUGUUUAUAUGCGUGCUUAUUUACUCUGAUUAUAGGUUAAGCAUUUUAGGGUAGAAAAAGGGGUGUUACAAUCAUAACUUCCACAAGUUGGUCUAGCUGAUUUUUUAUUGAGUUCACAUCUCCUCCCAAUGCAAUAUGACUUUGCUCCAACGGAUCCAUGAUCUUUCAAGAGCUACUUCAAGUCUGAUAUGAGUACCGGGAAAUCAACUGCAGGCUAUGGACGAAGGGUGGAUGAGUUUUUUUGUAUAUAUUUUGUAUGAAAGGUGAUAUGCAAUGCAUGAUGAUUGCAGAUGCAAUGAUAUGUGUAUGAGUUGUAGUGACAUGUUCAUGAUCACAGGUUCAAUGUGUUUUCAGAUGGAUCAGAAUAACGGGUAAAUGACAUGUAUCUCUAAUUAAUGGAACCCCAUGGGUAGGCUCUACAGUUGGUAGGUUCCCAGAGUCAUGGAUAUUUCUUGAGGACGUCACUGUCGUGACGAAGACUCGUCGGACAAUAGUAUCCUUAAGAAGAUCUCGUCUAGUCCCAUGGGUAGGCUCUACAGUUGGUAGGUUCCCAGAGUCAUGGAUAUUUCUUGAGGACGUCACUGUCGUGACGAAGACUCGUCGGACAAUAGUAUCCUUAAGAAGAUCUCGUCUAGGUGAGGUCUUUCUAUUAUCCCAAACAAGGAAAACUCCAUGAGGAUUCUACUACACGACUCUCGAGUCCAGGGUUCUAACAAGGUUCUCAGAGUCAUAGAUCGAGGUUGGAAAUAUUACUGUAAGAUAGUAAUACGUCCAAGGGACCUCAUCUGAUUGGGGCUUUCAUAUUAACCCAACAAGUCUGAAACUUCGUAGGUUAAUACUAGAUAACCGCCGGAUAGAGUGGGUUAAAAGGUCCCUAGAGUCAUUGAUCCAACUUGAAAAUACUAUCGUCGUGACGAAGACUCGUCGGACAAUAAUAUCUCAAGAGAAUCUCCUCUAGGUGGGGUCUUCGUUUCUUCCCAACAAGGAAGACUCCUUGUGGGCGCCCACUACACGACCACCAACUUAAUCUUAUGGUUUUUCUCAGACUCAGGUAGAGAGCCUAUCUCACAAAGCACCACUAACAAAGAGCCCCAAAUAAGACAUACUCAAUAAAUCACAACACAAUAAUUAUGACAGGAUAAUAAUAACAGAAUAAGAAUGACAAUCAAACAAACAAGAUUAACACACAAUACAGAAACUGAACUAAAUUAGGCUUCACUCUCUUUUGCUUGGAGCUAGUCCCCAGCAGAGUCGCCAUCUGUCGCAUCUCGAAAAAUACGAUUUCUCGCGAUGGUCGCGGAAAAAUUUAUGUUUGAACAGAGUCGCCACCGAACUUUAUUUAUCCCAAUGAAGGAAUAGGAAAAUAUCGAUAAAAUCUUUAGAAAAUGGAAUAAUGGUCGUCGCAACCAUAUUCGGGUUCGGGAGUGGAUUACGCAAGAGGAAGGUAUUAUCACCCCUCGCGUCCGUUGUACUCAACGGGAACCUUUUAGUUCAAUAGUGUGUUUCGAGUGUUAAUUUAUGCUUGUUUGUUAUCUUUGAGUUAUAAAAUAUUGAAAAUAGAAAUGGAUGAGAACCUCAGAAAGGGAAAAAGGGAGGUUUUUUAUUAGUGUGCUCGUGAAGAUACAACAAUCUCCUACCUACGUAUCCUUAUGGUAUAAUAAGGAAAUCAUAGCAUUCGUAGUUCGGGGAACUACGGUUGGUUGGUGUUCUUUAAUGAACAACUAUUUGGAUUGCAUCCUAAAGGCUAAACGUUGGCUUGUCUACUCUCGGCGGAGGCUUAAGCACUAGUUUGUUGUGCGCAUUAGAAAGGAUUAAAUGGUGUUCUUUUUGAAAGAGUUUUGGUCACACGGGGUGACAAGUUGAGUUGAUAUGUUUGAUGUUUUGUUUGAUUUGUUUCGAUUGCACAAGGGCGAGGAGAGGAUAGGUCUGAUGUGUUAAAGUAUUUUGGUUGGAUGACGAUUACUCGGAUGGUCGAGUAAGACAACUCAUAUCCUAACAGUCGAGAAAGGGAAUAGAAGACUCUAGACCGUUUUCUUUUUCAUCCUUAAUUGUAAAAGGAUUUAAUAAUGAUUAGGGUGUUUUGAAUGGAUGACGAAUACUCGGAUAAUCGAGCAAGACAACUCGUAUCCUAAUAAUCGGGAAAGGGAAUAAAAGACUCUAGACCGCUUUCCGUUUCAUCUGAGUAAUUAUGAAAAGGAUUGGAUAAGAAUUAAGGUAUUUUAAAUGGAUGACGAUUACUCGGAUAGUCGAGUAAGACAACUCGUAUCCUAAUAAUCGGGAAAGAGAAUAGAAGAAUCUAGACCAUUUUCUGUUUCAUCUGAGUAAUUAUGAAAAGGAUUGGAUAAUAAUUAAUGACAAGUACCUGAAUGAGAGUAAAACAACUCAUAUCCAAGCAUUUGAGAAGAGGAGUUGAAAGCUCGAAACCAUCUCUUUUUCGUAUAGUUUUGAUUGAGAAUGAUUUGACUUAUGGUAUAAGUUGGUGGAAAAAUGACAAUAGUUCGACUAACCGAGUAAGAGAACUCGUAUUCAAACAAUUGAGGAGAGAAGUUGAAAACUCAAAGUCAUCUCCCUUUUCAUUUAGCUUAUUAUGAAAAUAAUUUGAUUUAAUCGGAUUUAGACGUUUGUGGAGAAAUGACGAUUGUUUGACUGACCAAGUAAGAGAACUUGUAUUCAAAUAAUCGAGGAGAGAAAUUGAAGACUCAAAGUCAUCUCCCUUUUCAUUUCUUAUUAUAAAAUGAUUUGAUUUGUUUGUGAUUAAAUGGAUUAGAAAUGACAACUAUUUGACUAACCGAGUAAGAGAACUCGUAUUCAAAUAAUCGAAGAGAGGAGUUGAAAACUCAAAACCAUCCCCCUUUUUAUUUUCAUAUGAAAUGUUAUUUGAUUGUGAUUGGGUAUUUUGAUUUGGUUUGAAUAAAAGUACUCGAUGUUGGAUUGAGGCUUUGAAUUUGUGUUUAUGAAUGAAAUGAGUUUUCUUAGUGAAUCGAUCAUCUAAUCGAUUAUUUAAUAAUCGAAUAGGUCUCAUUGUAAGGAAGCCCAAGAGUAAGCUAUGUGAGGUUGACGGCGAUGCUAAGAGCAAUCGACUUACGAAGGUGUGGGAGAUGGACUCGAUUGAAUCGAUAAUUGUUUGGUUUUAGCGGUUUAAAGCGGUUUUGGAUCGACGGUGGAUUUGAAUGAAAAUCAAUCAAUAUUUAAUUAACCAAGUUAAUUAAUUUAAAGUUUGAUUGAAUCAAUCAAUCAAGUUGAUUAAAAUUAAUUAUCAAAAUUAUUCAUUUAGGCCAACUAAUCAUGUUAAUUAAAAAUUAAUUGAUCAAUUGAAAUGUCGAUUGAAGAAAAUGGAAGCAAGCAUAGCAAGGGUGCACUCACCAAAAUCUAAUUAGGCCAACCCAACUAAUAAUUAAGCCUUUGAGAAAAUAAAUAAAUAGAUAUAAGAAAAAACAAAAUGAAACAUGGCUGUAUGAGAAGAGUAGGGGCGGCGUCCUAAUAUCUGGAAGGAAAGAGAGCCUCAUGUAUUUUUAAUUUGGAAGUCCACUAAUAAAAUAUUGACAUGCGGUGGUACAUUAAGAGUGGAGGAACAAAAUUUACAAAUACCUUCUCUCUCUCGCUUGAUUUUUUCUGAAUUAAACAAUGUUUAAAGAAAAAAAAUAUUUGACUAAGUCUAAUUAAUUUAAAAUAAAGUUUGCACUUAAACAAUUAAUCCUAAAUAUUAACAACUCACACUUAAUCCCAAUUACAAUUAAUCUCUUAAUCACAUAAAUUCUUAUGAUUAUAAAUAAUCAUUUUAAUCACAAAUAGAAAAAGCAGAGUCUGAACUUAAAUCCAAAAUUAAUUAUUAUUGAUUAAGCGAAUUCCAAGAGAUUAGUUUAAAUUAAAUGAUUAUGAAGAAGAGGUGUGAACCUGAGAAAUGAGGGUGGAGAUAAGCGAACCCGUUUUGGGCCUUAUGCCCAAACAGUCAAGGCCUAUCCAUGAAAUGCUUCAAUUUGCUUCCUUCAGCAAAACCCAGGUCACCACGUUUUCAUCCUGGACGCGAUGCAAAGAAGCUUUAGAACUUCCCUCAGAACAUGGCGAUCCAACAACGAACAUAACGGAUCCAGACUCUAAUCCUCAGCCUCUGAUCAAGAUUGAAGUGAUAAUCUGUGAAACCAAAGUUCCUUUCAAAGAUCAUUGAAGUGGGAGCGAUGACGAUGGAUCCAGACUCUAACCUCCACAACGGCGUGUGAGAGAGUACGUCGGGGUGGACAAGAGUACGGUGGUGAAGGCCGUUAUUGGCGGCGGUAAGUGGUUGUCAGAAUAGUGGAGGUUACGCCGGUGAGGAGCGAUUGAAGGUCGAUUGUGGCCGGCGGAGAAACUGUGGUUUUGUGAGGGCGCUCGUUGGAGGUAGAAAAUGAGGGUGUGGAGCGUGUGGGUUCGCGGUCGAAGGAGGAUAAGAGUAAAGCUGAGCAUGAAAUAAAUUGAUACGGUUUGUUGAGUUGUUCCAAGCUUGUCGUCGUUGUUGCGGUAACGCUUGUAGUGCGUAUGAGUUGUUGGAUACAAGGGCACCUCCGUUUUCGAUAUGGCCAGGAUGAUUCUUACGGAUCGCUUAAGAUGUGAGACUAACAACUUCUAUAGUUGUAUCAUCCUACAAGAUCGAGGCAACAUUGAACUAUUGUUGUUGGAAAUUUCAAAUAUGCCGAAAUCAAACCAAUCGGAUCGCUUAAGAUGUGAGACUAACAACUUCUAUAGUUGUAUCAUCCUACAAGAUCGAGGCAACAUUGAACUAUUGUUGUUGGAAAUUUCAAAUAUGCCGAAAUCAAACCAAAAACAUGGGGGAUCCAAUGUAUUGUUUGUUGUUGCAACUUGGAGUUGUGGAAAAAAAAGGUGUGUUGUCGUGAACUUGUUGUCGGCAGAGCUAACAAGAGAUAUGUGGUUGUCAAUGGAUGAUGAGGAUGGAUAAUGGUUGGAUGGCGACGAUACUUGUGCACCCAGUGGAUGGAAGUGUCACGACCAAUUGUGAGGAGGUCGAUGGUGGGAACGUUGUGCCGGAGGUGGUUAGUUGGAGACGCAAGGGUUUGUGACGGCGGAAGAAGAAACGAACGGUGGUGGUCCGGUAGAAUGGAUUUGAUCGGAAGUGAAGAAGGGUGAUAUCGUUGAGUUGUGGUGGUGGAUGGUGAGUGGUCGUGGCUUGAAGAUGGAACGCAGAACGACGAUGCUCGAGUCGAAAGAUGAAGAGCAGAAGCGAAUCAAUUCUGAAAAGGUAUCGUCGAGUUUUUUCGCUUCUCUCUUAUGCUUCUGUUAUUUCUUUUCUUUCCUAACUCUAUCUCUCUUUUCUCCUUCGAUUACUGAUUGAUUCGUGAAUCGUCGAUGAAGGAUUUCCGAGUGUCUCCGUUUCUGUUAUUGCUGUUGUGUUCUUUAUGGUUUUUGAAAGAAAACUCUGUUUGUGUUUAGGUUGUUGUCGAUGAAGGAUUUCCGAGUGUCUCCGUUUCUGUUAUUGCUGUUGUGUUCUUUAUGGUUUUUGAAAGAAAACUCUGUUUGUGUUUAGGUUGUUCUUGAUUUUGGGUUUUGAAGAAAAAUAACUUUGCUGUGUUUAUUGCUGUGUUUGCUGUUGUGUUUAGAGUAUCUUUUGAAAAAUCUCUUACUGUGAUGUGUAUCCCCCCGUUAACCUCUCUUCUGUUGUUAUUAUGAAGAAAUGAUUAAGCCUUAAAAAACUCUUUUUUCUUUU
RNAcentral lists this long non-coding RNA (23678 nucleotides) under Lathyrus oleraceus (garden pea). RNAcentral describes it as "Pisum sativum (pea) long non-coding RNA (PSAT_LNC003516)". Lineage: Eukaryota; Viridiplantae; Streptophyta; Magnoliopsida; Fabales; Fabaceae. The record is from RNAcentral.